Podarcis raffonei (Aeolian wall lizard) is the source of this 560-nucleotide long non-coding RNA. RefSeq lists it as uncharacterized. Lineage: Eukaryota; Metazoa; Chordata; Lepidosauria; Squamata; Lacertidae. The transcript has 2 exons. The record is from RefSeq and is a predicted model, not a curated record.
AUGCAACCACCAGGGCUGCAAACCCCGCGGAAGGUGGGGGGAGAGAUCGAGAGAAUGGUAUCCCAUAUCUGAGGGGGCCAGGAAAAGUGUCUGGAAAAGUUGGAGAGGGAGGAGAAACCGUUCCUAUCGAGAGGGCGGGUAGGAAUCUCUCCCGCAGCGAAGAUGGACUAGGGAGAUUUUUCAAGCGAGGAGAGCCUUGCAACGGAAUCUACCCGCAGCAGCGUCGAGAAGGGGAUGUGAGGGAUCGACGAGGGGAUCGGAGCAGGAGCGGGGGUGGGUGAGUUCUCUCUUCCCCGCCCCGAUCGCCCGGGAUCUUAGGCGCUCUCCACCGGCCUCCCCCAAAGUUCGUGGGCAUGCCGUGGGGACACAAAGGGAGCCGUUACUCAGCCCUGCCCAUCCCACUUCGAGACAUCCGGCGCUACUCGCAGGGAAAGCAGCGGCUGCCCCCGCCUGGUCGAGCCCAGGAUCGCCAUAGACCUCGGAUCGGCCAUUUUUGGGGGAUCACUUUGUCCAGGUUCGCUUCGAAGAAGCCGUGGAGAGUGCAAGCCUGGAAGGCGCGC